RNAcentral lists this ribosomal RNA (467 nucleotides) under uncultured bacterium. RNAcentral describes it as "partial 16S ribosomal RNA". It matches the Rfam family "Bacterial small subunit ribosomal RNA", at positions 29 to 507 of the family's 1533-position model. The record is from RNAcentral.
ACGAACGCUGGCGGCGUGCUUAACACAUGCCAGUCGAACGGAAAGGCCCUGCUUUUGUGGGGUGCUCGAGUGGCGAACGGGUGAGUAACACGUGAGUAACCUGCCCUUGACUUUGGGAUAACUUCAGGAAACUGGGGCUAAUACCGGAUAGGAGCUCCUGCUGCAUGGUGGGGGUUGGAAAGUUUCGGCGGUUGGGGAUGGACUCGCGGCUUAUCAGCUUGUUGGUGGGGUAGUGGCUUACCAAGGCUUUGCCGGGUAGCCGGCCUGAGAGGGUGACCGGCCACAUUGGGACUGAGAGACGGCCCAGACGGGUACGGUAGGCAGCAGUGGGGAAUAUGGCACAAUGGGCGGAAGCCUGAUGCAGCGACGCCGCGUGCGGAAUGACGGCCUUCGGGUUGUAAACCGCUUUCGCCUGUGACGAAGCGUGAGUGACGGUAAUGGGUAAAGAAGCACCGGCUAACUACGUG